UAUCGAACCGUUUUAGAAACAUCAGUGGCCAACGAUCGUCAGGAUUGUUGAGCUGCAUUGGCGGGAUUUCGCCGUCUUCGUUUCUCUUUCUUCGCGGACGAACACGCGCUGGGGCUGCAAGCUUGCAGAAUCCCUGGUCCUUGACUGGAUAUGCGUUAGGGGCUUGUAGCUCAGUUGGUUAGAGCGCGCGCUUGAUAAGCGUGAGGUCGGAAGUUCAAGUCUUCCCAGGCCCACCACACUCAUCGAGUGAGCAUUCGUCUUCUGGUUACGGGGCCAUAGCUCAGCUGGGAGAGCGCGUGCUUUGCAAGCAUGAGGUCGUCGGUUCGAUCCCGUCUGGCUCCACCAGAUGGUUUGAUCAUCGACUGAUCGUGCACCUAAAUCGUCCGCGAAACAUCACUUCGCACUUACUAGUCCGGAUGGACAGUAAGCUGCGUGAUUUCUGACAUCGUAAAGAGGAGAUCGAUCCGAGUUGGAUCGGGCAACAAGCAAUUGUUGCGCGAUACUUCAUUAUCUCCGGAUCAUUUCGGCGCUCGUGCGCCUUUCAAUGUAGCUCACAAGGCUGCGUCUGAGAGGAAUGCGAGUUGUAAAUGAUCCUUUUAGCGAAGCUUGACCGCCUCGCUAUCGGAACGAUCUUACGAAGCAAGCUGGUCUUUCUAAUCAUUGUCCGGCUGCAGAUAGCGUUCAUCGAGGGCGCGUGCCGCAAGGUAAUUCUGCAGACAACAUUCUGCCGAGUGUGUGGACAUUGAUAAUGAGAGCAAUCAAGUGCCUUAAGGGUGUUCGGUGGAUGCCUUGGCGCUGAGAGGCGAUGAAGGACGUGCUACGCUGCGAUAAGCC
Molecule: unclassified non-coding RNA, 834 nt
Filed under: Bradyrhizobium sp. NZP2309
Lineage: Bacteria; Pseudomonadati; Pseudomonadota; Alphaproteobacteria; Hyphomicrobiales; Nitrobacteraceae
Also listed under: 7 other names
Description: partial 16S-23S ribosomal RNA intergenic spacer
Rfam family: tRNA (bases 160-233)
Source: RNAcentral